CACAUAAACUUCAAAUUCAAAUUUCAAAUGUUGACAACAAAUGUCAAGUUUCCCGGUUCUUUGGAAAUGGUUUCCAGAAUAAAUUCCGAAAAUUGGCGGUUUAAGUCGCACAUCAUAAAUUUACGUAUCGUGUUAAUAUCUAACGUAGUUUCAAGCAGAACAUCAAUUCAACAAAGUUUUAAUCUUUAAAAGCGUUAGUCUAUAACCUCACAAAUUGUGUUUACAAACAAAACAUGACUGUUAAAACAAGCCCCAAAAAAGUGAAGAAAAAUCCUUUAAGACCUAAGAGUCAACCUCGAAAUUAUAAUGUAACUAGAUACUUUCAACCCGGAGAAACUAGCUUGGCUUGUCAUUCCAGUAUCAAUGCAGUAAUACCUUACGUAAAUGUAGAGAAUCAAAACUCAGCAACUCCAGUAAAAAACAUCAAAAUACAUAAAACAGUGUGUGGUACUGCUAAGAAAGUUCAAUCAGUUGCCAAGGAACCUUCCAAUAAUAACGUGUCCGCUUUUGAAAGAGCAAAAUCAUAUCAUUUUAAUAGAAUACAAGCUGAACAAAAAAAAGCUAAGCAUCGUGAUAUGCUUAAAAGCAGUUCAUCUUCUAGCAUUGAUGGGAAGAUCGAAAAGUUUACUAGGACAAAAUCAAAGUCUUUUCAUGAGACGAGUAAGAAGCAUUAUGAAACAAAACAGUUAUAUUUAAGAAGUGAAAAGGGAUCCACAUCUCAAGCAACUAGUAGCACUUUUAAAUCUACAACUGAUCCGGCACUUUUGCAUAGAGUCCUCAAGGUUAAAAACUUGAAACAAGAAAUUUUAGAAAAUAGAAGGGCAACUUCCAAUGUAAGAUAUCCAAGUAGAAAUUCAUCUUUUGGAGACAGUAGUGCUAAGAUCAGUGAUCUUACAAAGGAAAUUAGUCAGUCGAAAACUAAUAAUAUAGCCAAGAAGAAAAUUCUAAUCACAGAGCUUCAUUCUGAAAUUGCCCAAUAUAAGCAGUAUAAAAACUUUUUAGUGUACAACAGUACUGAAGAACCUUCAAAUUUAAAAAAUGAAGCUAUGGUCUCAAGCAAUAAUGAAUCAAGCAUAAAUCAUUCAUCAAGCAGCCAGAAAAGACCAUCAGGAGGAAAGAGAGUGUCAAUUUUAGUCAAGCCUGAGAAUAUUGAUAUAUCUCUUGACAGAGACUCUUCAUCUGCAGUCCUUUAUGUUAAAUCUAGACACAGCAGUAGAUCAAGAAGCCGAAGUGGAACAGAUCCUGCAGAUUCUGUUUCUGAAACAAGAUCAAAUUCGAAAGCAGAAACUCUUUCCGAUAGAUCAGGAAAAUCAAAGGAGCUAUCAGAUCCAGAAUCCGCGGAUGACGAAGUAAUCAGAUACAAAAUUAAAGAAGCCAAUCAGCUAAUAGAACGUGUACGUAAAGCUCUUAGUAAAAUAAAAGCAAUACAAAGUGGAGAUGAAUCAACAACGCAGAAGCCAGACAAGAAAAGAGAUUCUGGGUCAAGUUCUACAGAUAUUGAGGAGACUAUUAAGGGUUUGAAGUUACAAACCAAACAGUUAUUGCAAGAGGAUACAACAAUAAGACCAACUUUAACUAGAACAAAGUUGGCAAUUCAAAGAAGCACUGAUAUUUUGAAACAGAAAAGCAAUAUAUAUCCAAGUCUCGAUAGAAGCGCAACCGCUGUUAUGAUUUCAAAAGAAAAAGAAACAAUCAUGACUAAAGAAGAAAAAACUGUUGUUAAAUCUCCACGAGACAAGAAUACUGAGGCUAGCCAAAUUGUAACAAUUGUAUCGAAAUCAAAGAUACCGAGACCUGUGCAGCAGACGCAGACGGAGGAAUGUAGUAGAAGAGGAAUAAGAGACUGCUGCCAGGUUCCGGGCCUUGAUAUGGAGAGGCCGAUGACUAGGAGAAACGAAGCUGCAAUUUUAGAAGAUGAUCUAAUGGAACAGGUUGGUGUUGAUAAAUUUCGGACAGUACCUGAUACCAAUCAACUCGAGGUUUCCAGUAGUUUUGAAGAACUACAAGAGAAGCUAAAAACCAUUGCUGAAACUACUGAGAGUAACCGAAGUACUCCUAGACGAAGCGGGGAAAAAGUGCCGCAAGAACCACCAAUAAUUACAAUGGUCGAUAAUUGUAGCAAUUGUGUUCAACUAGUAAGCAACUGCAAUCAGCAAAUUCAAGUGAAACCUGACGCGAGAUGCAUGGGAGUAGAAUGUCACUGUCAAACGCACGAAAAAUCCAACCAAGGCAGAAUUUUACCAGCUCUAUGUGUCGCCAACAGAGUUGCUACAGACGUUGUCCCUCCAAGGAAAAUAAAUCUAAAGUAUCAGCAUAGCCCACCUCUAGAAAUAGAACCAACAAAGUUAACCUGUACCCGCUGUAAUACUGAAUUUUUCUUUUCCGAAGUAAUGCUCUCGCCGACAUUAAGAAAGAUGAUGUGCGAAAACUGUAAGAGCCAGUUAAAGGAAGAUUUCGUUGGUGGAAUUUCAAUUGAACCUCAAGUUGAUCAAAAGAUUCAAAACUUAAGCAUCAAAUUAUUACCACCUGUGAUUAUAAAACAACCAUUAAAAGUUACCAAAGUAUUGGACUUAUCAAUUAACUCCAAGGGAGAUGCCUUAAACCGGUUAAGAAACCGUACAAACGUUACUUAUGUGGAUGUCAUACAUGGCAAAGAACUUGGGUUUGAUACUUUUAAUCAUUUUCAAUCGGAGUUUGAUGGAGGGAAAACCAAAUCUGUAACCGAAAACGAGAAAGAUGAUCUUAUAUUAAAAAGUGAAGCUAUUUCUACUGUUACUGACAAAGAAGAUUUUAUAGAGCAAGUGACACCUACAGAUAGUAAAUUAAAGCCAGUAUUAUUUGAAAAUAAAGUAGAAGAGGUAGUUUCUGGGGAUACUCAUACGAACCAUGAAAUACCUCUUCAAACGGUUAUGAAAUAUAUACCUAAAGAUAGUAACUCUGAACAGGAUGAGGAUGAAGUAAUUUCAGUCAGUUUUACAAAUGCUGAAGCAAAACGAUCGAAUCAUUCCGCCCCAACUCGCACAUCAAGCAAGUCCGGUAAGCCUGAGGAUUGGAAGAACGAUGUUCGAUACACGUUGUUGGAUACAUUUAAUAAGCACCACAACAGCAAUAUUUUUGAUGUCUUAGAUAAAGAAAAAGAGGAAAUUUACAAUAUGCAACAAAAACCUAAUCUCACAGAAGCGGAACGAGAAGAAUUAAAAAAGAAACUACUUUGGUACCAAUCUUAUCAUAUAUACGACAAUCCUAACCUGCAUGAUCCAGGACGGAUGGACCAAAAAUCAUUGGAAAAAGUAUCCCAUGUGGAUUUGGAGUUUUAUAAAACUUUUAUAAAUCCAGAUCCAAUGAUGUCAGGAGAAAUAACCCCUGUUCGUGUACGAUCUAGAAGUGCAUCAAAAGGAUCGAAAAGUCGAUUUGGAUAUGAGUCCAAACAGGUUCAAGUUCAACCAUCUCUUCUUGAAGGACAAUUAAAAGACCAUGAUGCUCCACAGGUGCUGAUUGAAUUAAUUAGCGGGAGCGAAAAUGCCAUAAACAGAGAAAUUAUUAGCGAAGAUACCAUAACAAACAAAGAAAUUAAACAAUUUAACGCUGAAGAAAAUCCUCUGUUACGUGCUUCACACCCACCGCUAAACCGGUCAUCUAAUCCGGCAAUAGAUAGCUGCUCUCAGGUAACACUUUUGAACAUAAAAGAGAAUGAAGAUGGCGCACUUGUUUUUCAACAAACCCUAGAUCCCAGGGGGAACGAGUCCAAACCAAUAUUAGAGGCUCAAAAAGAUGAUAGAGGUUCUAGUACACCUUCGGAAAUCACCGUUACUAUAUCUUAUACUUUGUCUGAAGAAGAACACAAAUCAGAGAAUGGAUCAUUUAAUAAACCAAGAUCUGAAAGUCCUGAAAUAGAAAUAAACUCCACUCUGCUGGAUCGUGAUCAAUUAAAAAAAUGUAGUGUAGAGUUCCAAGACACUAACAUUAGUAGACAAAGACGUUAUGGAUAAGCUCCGUGAUAAACUAAGAUCUGUGGAUACCACAGCGUCCUUGCCAGGUUUUACAAUACAUAGUGACGGCCAUCGUGAAACUCUAGACAAUUUUCUUAAAGGACUCACAAAGAUUUCUUCUCAAGGCUACAAUUCGCCGAAAAGUGAAAAUACAGAUAAAACUAUAAAUUAUGUAUUUACCCAUAACGAAAAUAAUCUGGAAUCCCUUAGGAGUCAUUUGGAAUUGGCUGAAAAUG
RNAcentral lists this unclassified non-coding RNA (4225 nucleotides) under Anthonomus grandis grandis. Its description in RNAcentral is "uncharacterized LOC126738979". The record is from RNAcentral. Lineage: Eukaryota; Metazoa; Arthropoda; Insecta; Coleoptera; Curculionidae.